This 253-nucleotide ribosomal RNA is filed under the name uncultured bacterium. Its description in RNAcentral is "partial 16S ribosomal RNA". It matches the Rfam family "Bacterial small subunit ribosomal RNA", at positions 524 to 776 of the family's 1533-position model. The record is from RNAcentral.
UACGGGGGGGGCAAGCGUUGUUCGGAAUUACUGGGCGUAAAGGGCUCGUAGGCGGCCAACUAAGUCCGACGUGAAAUCCCCAGGCUUAACCUGGGAACUGCGUCGGAUACUGGAUGGCUUGAAUUCGGGAGAGGGAUGCAGAAUUCCAGGUGUAGCGGUGAAAUGCGUAGAUAUCCGGAGGAACACCGGUGGCGAAGGCGGCUUCCUGGACCGACACUGACGCUGAGGCGCGAAAGCUAGGGGAGCAGACGGG